GAAAGAAAUGUUGAAGAUUGUCAUUUUUGCUCAAUAUUUUCCAAGAAUUUUUAGAAUUUAUCCAUUGUACAAAGAAGUAACAAGGACUUCAGGCUUGUUUACUGAAAGUGCAUGGGGUGGAGCUGUUUUCAACCUUUCCCUCUACAUGCUAGCCAGUAACGUAAUUGGAGCCUUGUGGUACUUGUUCUCAGUAGAACGCCAAGAUACAUGCUGGCGCGAUGCGUGUGACAAGAUCUCCGGCUGUUCAUCAAACUACUUAUAUUGUAACAAAAGUUCGAUUGGAAAUGCU
RNAcentral lists this unclassified non-coding RNA (289 nucleotides) under Hevea brasiliensis (rubber tree). The record is from RNAcentral. Lineage: Eukaryota; Viridiplantae; Streptophyta; Magnoliopsida; Malpighiales; Euphorbiaceae.